UUUUUUUUUUUUUUAAUUUAUAUGAGUACACUGUAGCUGUCUUCAGACACACCAAAAGUGUACAUCAGAUCCCAUUACAGAUGGUUGUGAGCCACCAUGUGCUUGCUGGGAAUUGAACUCUGGAAGAGUAGUCAGUGCUUUUAACUGCUGAGCCAUCUCUCCAGCUCCCCCUGCAUCCACUCUUAACUGCGCUGAUUACAGGGCUGUGCCGCCAUGCUUGGCAUAAACUCAGCCAAUCAGUGGGAAAAGAAACAAAACAGUCUGGACCCAAAGUGACAUCUCCAUUCUGCCUCUAUCUGUGAGCUCCGGAACAUAGGCUCAGCCUCGCAGGUCUUCAGGCUCCUGAGCAAGUGCCAUUUCCUGCUUAGUCAGCUCACUUCCCCUUUGUAUCACUAAAUGAGUAUUACUUAAUGUUGAAUGUGAGGGUGGCCUUUGGUUUUCCUCCAGUGCUCUGUCCCUGAAAGUAUACCCAGCCUUUCUUUAUUUCUUAGCAUUUAACUUUAUAUGUUGUAACUGAUCGGGAUAUUUUCGUCAACUUGACACAGGAAAAAUCUAAGUGCAGGACUACUAACAUUAUACCAAGGCAAUUAUAAGGAAUCUAUAAGAAAUCUGAACUCAGUGAGUGUUAGACUGCUAGUUAGGUGAAGAGCAGACAGUCUGCCUCAAUAUGGUUCUCUGUCCCUGGCAGAGGUCUGUCUGCUGUGAAUCAGUGAAGACAGUAUGUCCCUUCUCUCUGCUGUGCAUUCCUAUUGACCCCACAACACACAUCAGUAGUCAGAUCUAGGGAGUGGUUAGGUGAGGGGACACCUACCUGCCAAGUCCUAGCAUGCACAGGCCUACAGCAGGAAAGGCCUGGGUGAGGUGGUAUCUGCCUGGACCCAGCAGUUAGGACAUUGAGGCAUGGUGGUGGUGAGUUCCAGGCAAGCCUGUGCUGAGGAAAUAGUUCAAGGCCAGUCUCUAAGGCGCAGUCUCAGAACCUAACAAAUUCAGUAAAGUGUUGUGAUACCAUAAACAUUAAAAAAUCUAGUUUUCGCUAAGAAAUACAUCAAGAAAGCAAUCUCCUAAUAGCUAUAAAAAUGAAAAUAAAAUUAAGAAAGUGAAAGCUUUCUUUAAUGAAAAUCAUAAGACUGAUCAAAGAGAUUGAAAGGGAGCUAGGGAGCUGGCUCAGUUGUCUCAUUGCCUGCCCCACAAGCAGGCAGACUCUAGCACCCACAUGGAUGCUCACUGAUGGUGCACAUCUGUACCACAGUGCUCUGGGGCAGACAGCUGGAUCCUGGAGCUUACUGGCCAGCCAUUGUUGUCAGUUGGUAAUCGCUAGGUUCUGUGAGAGAAUCUAUCUCAGAGAAUAGAGAGAGCUACAGAGGAAACCACCUGAUGUCAGCCUCUGGCCUAUACACACAUUUGUGCACACAGAUACACACAUAUACAUUGUAGAAGAACUGAACAGGGUGACACACAACUGAGACUGAGGAGAAUUGCCUCAGCUUCAAGGCCUGUCUGGACUGCAGUCUUGUUGAAUGCCAGCCUGGGCAAGACCCUCUCCCAAAAAACAAACAAGUACUACCAUCCCUAAAAUGGGGAUAUUUCCUGUGUUGGUAAAAUUAGUACUAAAAUACCAAUAGUACAGCCGGGCGUGGUGACGCGCGCCUUUAAUCCCAGCACUUGGGAGGCAGAGGCAGGUAGAUUUCUGAGUUCCAGGAUAGCCAGGGCUAUACAGAGAAACCCUGUCUCAAAAAACC
This 1739-nucleotide long non-coding RNA is filed under the name Mus musculus (house mouse). Its description in RNAcentral is "long non-coding RNA chr13:55124747-55126486". Lineage: Eukaryota; Metazoa; Chordata; Mammalia; Rodentia; Muridae. The record is from RNAcentral.